CACACACCAAAUUCUUAAUACCUAUGCAAAUUCACAUAUAUAUAUAGAUUUUCAAAUUAAACUUUCUAAGAUCUCAGUACUAAUAUGUAGUACAUGUAAUUAAAAGACAUCCCAUAUAAAACCCCAAAUUUCAAUCUUAAAAAAGAUUGAAAAAAAAUUCUCCACAACAUACACCAUAACCUUUGUCUGACUGGAUUUUGCACAUUAAUAUUAAACCAUAUGGUUUUUUGCCUUUGAAAAGGAAAGAUUCCCUCUUGGUGUGAAGCUGGCUAUUAAUUAUAUUCAAAUACUUCUGAAGUUUCUUAGUGACAAUAAACAAUUCUCUAGUAUAGGUAUUGUGCAGAAUCGAAUUUUGCUAACAUUUUACCUUUGAUUGAUAUACAAUUAUCACCAUAAAAUCACACUAUAUCAUGGUACAUUUUCAGACUAACUAGCAAUUUUCCAAAGUUACAUAUAUGUCUUUAUUAUUAAAUCUUAGAGAAUAGCCAAUUUAUGAGAUAAAAUUUCCCUUUGUGUGUUCCAAAUCAAUCCCUUUUUCUUUUCUUGGGGGGCCCUUCCCAAAAGAAGAAAAAGUAAGAUUUAUGGAACACUUUGUCAAUUUUAAAGGUCAAAAUUAAUUACCUCCUUUUGGGAGGACUGAUCAUAAAUUGUGAAUGCCCAAUUAGGAAGACACAGACAGGACUUAUUAACAUGGACACACAUAGAGAUGCACAAAACAGAUAUUAAACACAGACUAAGGGAAGCAUGAUUUUAGAAUUAAGGUGUUUACUCAAGAUCUUGAGGAAGAAAAGGGGGAGAAGGAAUGAAUAAUCUAACUUGCUCUUUCCAAGAUACUGUCUCUUAGAUGUGAGAAGAGAAGAAAAGUUUUGGCUCACAAACCUUGAGUGUAAGCAUUUGAAAACUUGGGUGACAAGGAAUUGAAAGAGGGGAACCUCCCUGCUAGAACCAAGGAUCCCAGAGUCAUGAAGGUGAAAAAGGAGGACCUCCUACCUCUGUCCAUCCUCUCCUUCCUUUCCCAAGUGGAAGAAAAUUCCUCAGAGAAGGAUCUGUCAGCUUUUUGGAGGAUGGAGUUGAGAGAGGAGUGACUUGAAGCAUGGAAUCCAAUUAAGAGAUUAUCACAAGAAUCUAGAAUUUCCAUCCAAAACUUUGCCUUCAUGAUUCUCUAUGGAACUGCAGCUAAACCCAGAAGUCUAGUUCUUCUUUGAUCCAAAUGAGAAUCAUCGGAGAUUAGACACUCUUAUAUGGUGAUAUAUGAACUUAAUGAAUAACUAUUAAUGGAUUGACUGAUGUAAAAUGUAAGUUAUGUGUGUAAUAUAUAUUAUAUAUGUAUAAUUACAUUAAAUAUAACAUAGAUAUUGAUAUAUGUUAUGAAUGUGUAAUAGACAUAUAUGUAUUCACAGAGUCAUCUUAACAAAGUUAAAGGUAGAGACCUUGAGCUGACUCAGAAGAUGUCCUUGUGGAAGGU
Molecule: long non-coding RNA, 1465 nt
Filed under: Monodelphis domestica (gray short-tailed opossum)
Lineage: Eukaryota; Metazoa; Chordata; Mammalia; Didelphimorphia; Didelphidae
Description: lncRNA (ENSMODG00000033202.2)
Source: RNAcentral